RNAcentral lists this ribosomal RNA (3086 nucleotides) under Salmonella enterica subsp. enterica serovar Alachua. RNAcentral describes it as "23S ribosomal RNA". It matches the Rfam family "Bacterial large subunit ribosomal RNA". Lineage: Bacteria; Pseudomonadati; Pseudomonadota; Gammaproteobacteria; Enterobacterales; Enterobacteriaceae. The record is from RNAcentral.
GGUUAAGCGACUAAGCGUACACGGUGGAUGCCCUGGCAGUCAGAGGCGAUGAAGGGCGUGCUAAUCUGCGAUAAGCGCCGGUAAGGUGAUAUGAACCGUUAUAACCGGCGAUACCCGAAUGGGGAAACCCAGUGUGAUUCGUCACACUAUCAUUAACUGAAUCCAUAGGUUAAUGAGGCGAACCGGGGGAACUGAAACAUCUAAGUACCCCGAGGAAAAGAAAUCAACCGAGAUUCCCCCAGUAGCGGCGAGCGAACGGGGAGGAGCCCAGAGCCUGAAUCAGCAUGUGUGUUAGUGGAAGCGUCUGGAAAGUCGCGCGAUACAGGGUGACAGCCCCGUACACAAAAGCGCAUGUGCUGUGAGCUCGAUGAGUAGGGCGGGACACGUGGUAUCCUGUCUGAAUAUGGGGGGACCAUCCUCCAAGGCUAAAUACUCCUGACUGACCGAUAGUGAACCAGUACCGUGAGGGAAAGGCGAAAAGAACCCCGGCGAGGGGAGUGAAAAAGAACCUGAAACCGUGUACGUACAAGCAGUGGGAGCCCCACCACUAAGCCAGUGGUGAACUCCACAUACGCAUCCUUUGCUGAGGAUACGGUUAACGGAGCGAAAGCGACGUUCAACCGCAAAAGAAGCAGAGGGGGCUUAGUGGUGGGGUGACUGCGUACCUUUUGUAUAAUGGGUCAGCGACUUAUAUUCUGUAGCAAGGUUAACCGAAUAGGGGAGCCGGAGGGAAACCGAGUCUUAAUUGGGCGUUAAGUUGCAGGGUAUAGACCCGAAACCCGGUGAUCUAGCCAUGGGCAGGUUGAAGGUUGGGUAACACUAACUGGAGGACCGAACCGACUAAUGUUGAAAAAUUAGCGGAUGACCUGUGGCUGGGGGUGAAAGGCCAAUCAAACCGGGAGAUAGCUGGUUCUCCCCGAAAGCUAUUUAGGUAGCGCCUCGUGAACUCAUCUCCGGGGGUAGAGCACUGUUUCGGCUAGGGGGCCAUCCCGGCUUACCAACCCGAUGCAAACUGCGAAUACCGGAGAAUGUUAUCACGGGAGACACACGGCGGGUGCUAACGUCCGUCGUGAAGAGGGAAACAACCCAGACCGCCAGCUAAGGUCCCAAAGUCAUGGUUAAGUGGGAAACGAUGUGGGAAGGCCCAGACAGCCAGGAUGUUGGCUUAGAAGCAGCCAUCAUUUAAAGAAAGCGUAAUAGCUCACUGGUCGAGUCGGCCUGCGCGGAAGAUGUAACGGGGCUAAACCAUGCACCGAAGCUGCGGCAGCGAACGUAUCACUUAAAGCGAUUCAGCGGGUUACGAUUGACGGAGCGAAGCGACGUCAAAGCGUAUACAAAGUCGAGUCGGUUUAAGGAUACGUUCGUUGGGUAGGGGAGCGUUCUGUAAGCCUGUGAAGGUGGCCUGUGAGGGUUGCUGGAGGUAUCAGAAGUGCGAAUGCUGACAUAAGUAACGAUAAAGCGGGUGAAAAGCCCGCUCGCCGGAAGACCAAGGGUUCCUGUCCAACGUUAAUCGGGGCAGGGUGAGUCGACCCCUAAGGCGAGGCCGAAAGGCGUAGUCGAUGGGAAACAGGUUAAUAUUCCUGUACUUGGUGUUACUGCGAAGGGGGGACGGAGAAGGCUAUGUUGGCCGGGCGACGGUUGUCCCGGUUUAAGCGUGUAGGCUGGUUUUCCAGGCAAAUCCGGAAAAUCAAGGCUGAGGCGUGACGACGAGGCACUACGGUGCUGAAGCAACAAAUGCCCUGCUUCCAGGAAAAGCCUCUAAGCAUCAGGUAACAUCAAAUCGUACCCCAAACCGACACAGGUGGUCAGGUAGAGAAUACCAAGGCGCUUGAGAGAACUCGGGUGAAGGAACUAGGCAAAAUGGUGCCGUAACUUCGGGAGAAGGCACGCUGACACGUAGGUGAAGUGAUUUACUCAUGGAGCUGAAGUCAGUCGAAGAUACCAGCUGGCUGCAACUGUUUAUUAAAAACACAGCACUGUGCAAACACGAAAGUGGACGUAUACGGUGUGACGCCUGCCCGGUGCCGGAAGGUUAAUUGAUGGGGUCAGCGCAAGCGAAGCUCCUGAUCGAAGCCCCGGUAAACGGCGGCCGUAACUAUAACGGUCCUAAGGUAGCGAAAUUCCUUGUCGGGUAAGUUCCGACCUGCACGAAUGGCGUAAUGAUGGCCAGGCUGUCUCCACCCGAGACUCAGUGAAAUUGAACUCGCUGUGAAGAUGCAGUGUACCCGCGGCAAGACGGAAAGACCCCGUGAACCUUUACUAUAGCUUGACACUGAACAUUGAGCCUUGAUGUGUAGGAUAGGUGGGAGGCUUUGAAGUGUGGACGCCAGUCUGCAUGGAGCCGACCUUGAAAUACCACCCUUUAAUGUUUGAUGUUCUAACGUGGACCCGUAAUCCGGGUUGCGGACAGUGUCUGGUGGGUAGUUUGACUGGGGCGGUCUCCUCCUAAAGAGUAACGGAGGAGCACGAAGGUUGGCUAAUCCUGGUCGGACAUCAGGAGGUUAGUGCAAUGGCAUAAGCCAGCUUGACUGCGAGCGUGACGGCGCGAGCAGGUGCGAAAGCAGGUCAUAGUGAUCCGGUGGUUCUGAAUGGAAGGGCCAUCGCUCAACGGAUAAAAGGUACUCCGGGGAUAACAGGCUGAUACCGCCCAAGAGUUCAUAUCGACGGCGGUGUUUGGCACCUCGAUGUCGGCUCAUCACAUCCUGGGGCUGAAGUAGGUCCCAAGGGUAUGGCUGUUCGCCAUUUAAAGUGGUACGCGAGCUGGGUUUAGAACGUCGUGAGACAGUUCGGUCCCUAUCUGCCGUGGGCGCUGGAGAACUGAGGGGGGCUGCUCCUAGUACGAGAGGACCGGAGUGGACGCAUCACUGGUGUUCGGGUUGUCAUGCCAAUGGCACUGCCCGGUAGCUAAAUGCGGAAGAGAUAAGUGCUGAAAGCAUCUAAGCACGAAACUUGCCCCGAGAUGAGUUCUCCCUGAGACUUUAAGUCUCCUGAAGGAACGUUGAAGACGACGACGUUGAUAGGCCGGGUGUGUAAGCGCAGCGAUGCGUUGAGCUAACCGGUACUAAUGAACCGUGAGGCUUAACCUU